UACGGAGGGUGCAAGCGUUACUCGGAUUUAUUGGGCGUAAAGGGCAGGUAGGUGGUCUUAUUUGUCUGAGGUGAAAGCCUUGAGCUUAACUCAAGAAGUGCCUCAGAAACGGUAAGACUAGAGUUCUAGAGAGGGUCGUGGAAUUCCCGGUGUAGCGGUGAAAUGCGUAGAGAUCGGGAGGAACACCAGAGGCGAAGGCGGCGACCUGGAUAGAUACUGACACUAAACUGCGAAAGCGUGGGGAGCAAACAGG
RNAcentral lists this ribosomal RNA (253 nucleotides) under uncultured bacterium. Its description in RNAcentral is "partial 16S ribosomal RNA". It matches the Rfam family "Bacterial small subunit ribosomal RNA", at positions 524 to 776 of the family's 1533-position model. The record is from RNAcentral.